UGUUAAAAGUAUUAUCUAUUUAUAUUGUUAAAAAUUGAUAUGAUUAACAAAAUAAUUAAAUAGUAACACGUGUGUUUUAUGCUGAUAUAUAGAGACUAAUUUUUUAAUAGUAAAAAUAGAUAAAAUUUUUAACA
Non-coding RNA from Gossypium hirsutum (cotton), 134 nucleotides. NCBI's taxonomy places the organism in Eukaryota, Viridiplantae, Streptophyta, Magnoliopsida, Malvales, Malvaceae. The record is from Rfam.